CAGUCUGGUAUACCUGCAGACAAGAAAGAACGCGUAGACGAGCCAACCUUGUUUGUCAACGCUCGAACACGACGGCACCGUCUCAUACUCUC
This 92-nucleotide non-coding RNA is filed under the name Picochlorum oklahomense. The record is from RNAcentral. Lineage: Eukaryota; Viridiplantae; Chlorophyta; Trebouxiophyceae.